Molecule: long non-coding RNA, 374 nt
Organism: Dermacentor andersoni
Lineage: Eukaryota; Metazoa; Arthropoda; Arachnida; Ixodida; Ixodidae
Source: RefSeq, a predicted model, not a curated record
AGCUGGCACACCACUUCAUCACAGCCGGACAAGUUCCCUGGCACGAUAAAGGGGUCACCAGUACUUGAACUGCAAAAGAUGUGUUGUCAACAAAGGAAUGCCGAGACAACAAAUGGAAACUUCCGAGGACGAAGAUGAUCAUAUGAUUCAAUUACAAGCGGCUGUUUGGCAACGCACCUCUCAAAUCCCGCGCGGGGCAACAAGAGCGACGUCUGAAGCAAAGCCGCAUCAUUUUAACUCACGUCGUCUGGUGGAGCUUCCUGCGGAAACUACUGCUGCUUACCUGGUGCCACAACGCUGGAUGAAUGCACAAAAAGCCCGCGACGAGCAUUUACAGAGGAUAAAAUAAACGUUAAUUUUUCCUCAUUUCACAA